RNAcentral lists this ribosomal RNA (253 nucleotides) under uncultured bacterium. RNAcentral describes it as "partial 16S ribosomal RNA". It matches the Rfam family "Bacterial small subunit ribosomal RNA", at positions 524 to 776 of the family's 1533-position model. The record is from RNAcentral.
UACGUAGGGGGCAAGCGUUGCUCGGAAUCAUUGGGCGUAAAGGGUAGGUAGGUGGUCUCAUUUGUCUGGGGUGAAAGCCCAGGGCUUAACCCUGGAAGUGCCCCGGAAACGGUGAGACUGGAGUCCUGGAGAGGGUCGUGGAAUUCCCGGUGUAGCGGUGAAAUGCGUAGAGAUCGGGAGGAACACCAGAGGCGAAGGCGGCGACCUGGACAGGUACUGACACUCAACUACGAAAGCGUGGGGAGCAAACAGG